UACAGAGGGUGCAAGCGUUAAUCGGAAUUACUGGGCGUAAAGCGUGCGUAGACGGUCAUGUAAGUCGGGUGUGAAAGCCCCGGGCUCAACCUGGGAAUUGCAUUCGAGACUGCAUGGCUAGGAUGCGGAAGAGGGAAGCGGAAUUUCCGGUGUAGCGGUGAAAUGCGUAGAUAUCGGAAGGAACACCAGUGGCGAAAGCGGCUUCCUGGUCCAGCAUCGACGUUCAGGCACGAAAGCGUGGGGAGCAAACGGG
Molecule: ribosomal RNA, 253 nt
Filed under: uncultured bacterium
Lineage: Bacteria
Description: partial 16S ribosomal RNA
Rfam family: Bacterial small subunit ribosomal RNA
Source: RNAcentral